GAGGCUGUGGCUCAGUGGAAGAGUGCUCGCCUAGCAUGUGUGAGGCACUGUGUUCGAUCUUCAGCAUUACA
RNAcentral lists this transfer RNA (71 nucleotides) under Marmota monax (woodchuck). RNAcentral describes it as "tRNA.Ala". The record is from RNAcentral. Lineage: Eukaryota; Metazoa; Chordata; Mammalia; Rodentia; Sciuridae.